AGGACGAACGCUGGCGGCGUGCCUCAUACAUGCAAGUGGAGCGACGAACCAGGAUUUAUCCUGGGGCAAAGCCGCGAACGGGUGAGUAACACGUGGGUUACCUGCCCCGAUGAUUGGGACAACCCGAGGAAACUCGGGCUAAUACCAAAUGUGCCCGUGGUUGUGAUGAUCACGAGGAAAGGAAGCUUCGGCCUCCGCAUCGGGAUGGGCCCGCGGCCCAUUAGCUAGUUGGUGGGGUAAAGGCCUACCAAGGCUACGAUCAGUAGCUGGUCUGAGAGGAUGAUCAGCCUCACUGGGACUGAGACACGGCCCAGACUCCUACGGGAGGCAGCAGUGGGGGAAUAUUGGACAAUGGGCGCAAGCCUGAUCCAGCCAUGCCGCGUGGAUGAUGAAGGCCCUAGGGUUGUAAAGUCCUUUCGACGGGGAAGAUAAUGACGGUACCCGUAGAAGAAGCCCGGCUAACUUCGCGCCAGCAGCCGCGGU
This 483-nucleotide ribosomal RNA is filed under the name uncultured bacterium. RNAcentral describes it as "SSU rRNA". It matches the Rfam family "Bacterial small subunit ribosomal RNA", at positions 26 to 521 of the family's 1533-position model. The record is from RNAcentral.